RNAcentral lists this ribosomal RNA (554 nucleotides) under uncultured bacterium. RNAcentral describes it as "partial 16S ribosomal RNA". It matches the Rfam family "Bacterial small subunit ribosomal RNA", at positions 355 to 902 of the family's 1533-position model. The record is from RNAcentral.
UGGGGAAUUUUGGACAAUGGGCGAAAGCCUGAUCCAGCAAUGCCGCGUGUGUGAAGAAGGCCUUCGGGUUGUAAAGCACUUUUGUCCGGAAAGAAAUGGCUCUGGUUAAUACCUGGGGUCGAUGACGGUACCGGAAGAAUAAGGACCGGCUAACUACGUGCCAGCAGCCGCGGUAAUACGUAGGGUCCAAGCGUUAAUCGGAAUUACUGGGCGUAAAGCGUGCGCAGGCGGUUGUGCAAGACCGAUGUGAAAUCCCCGAGCUUAACUUGGGAAUUGCAUUGGUGACUGCACGGCUAGAGUGUGUCAGAGGGGGGUAGAAUUCCACGUGUAGCAGUGAAAUGCGUAGAGAUGUGGAGGAAUACCGAUGGCGAAGGCAGCCCCCUGGGAUAACACUGACGCUCAUGCACGAAAGCGUGGGGAGCAAACAGGAUUAGAUACCCUGGUAGUCCGCGCCCUAAACGAUGUCAACUAGUUGUUGGGGAUUCAUUUCCUUAGUACGUAGCUAACGCGUGAAGUUGACCGCCUGGGGAGUACGGUCGCAAGAUUAAAAGCUC